This 214-nucleotide long non-coding RNA is filed under the name Mytilus galloprovincialis (Mediterranean mussel). The record is from RNAcentral. Lineage: Eukaryota; Metazoa; Mollusca; Bivalvia; Mytilida; Mytilidae.
GGCAUGAGUAAAGUUUUAUCCUGUUCGGUUCUAUAGAAAAAAAUUCACAUAACAUUUCAUUGCAUAUAAGAAAAUAACCAUCAUUGGAAGUUAACCAAUCAAAUUUCUCCCCUUAUUUUAUCUGUGUACAAGGUUUAGUCACCAUGUAACCUCAAGAUUACAAAAUUUUCUAUAGAAAUCCCAAAUAAAAAAUAAUGGUGUUUUGAAAUACCCA